ACAAUAUUUUUUUUGAAAGAACUUUGAAGCCAUUAAAAAUUAAUGAUCCAACAUGAUGUUAUAUAUAUAUAUAUUUUUAAAAAAAUUUUUCUUAUAUUCUGAAAAUUAGUUCAAUUGCUCUCAUGUUGCUAAAAUACUUAAUAUAUUGGGCAAAAGAUCUUAAAUGAACAAGCUUUCAUAUUUAUUAUUAAAGAAUGGUUAGAUUUUCAUUCGUGCUUUCUUUGAAUAUCAUUCUUGGUACUUCUUGAAUUAACUUGAGAAAGAUUCCACCUACACUUGAUUUGAAAACUAUCUUU
This 296-nucleotide long non-coding RNA is filed under the name Phoenix dactylifera (date palm). RNAcentral's name for it is "long non-coding RNA (PDAC_LNC012413)". Lineage: Eukaryota; Viridiplantae; Streptophyta; Magnoliopsida; Arecales; Arecaceae. The record is from RNAcentral.